Molecule: ribosomal RNA, 324 nt
Filed under: Triticum aestivum (bread wheat)
Lineage: Eukaryota; Viridiplantae; Streptophyta; Magnoliopsida; Poales; Poaceae
Description: partial small subunit ribosomal RNA
Source: RNAcentral
AUGUCUUCCUCUGCCACCUCCCACUCAAGCCUCAAUGGCCAGGUUCCGGAGAAACUCUCACGCACGAAUUAUGUGCUCUGGCGUACACAGAUCACGCCUCAGCUGAGAGGGGCAGGUCUCUUCGGCUAUGCCGAUGUCACCAUGCCAGAACCAGCACGCCUUCUCGUCACCAAGGACAAGGACGGGAAGGAAUCUUCCGAGCCCAACCCUCUCCACCCCAUCUGGGUCAAGGAGGACCAGCAGGUGCUCGGCUACCUACUCAGCAAUCUCUCCAAGGAGGUGCUGAUCAUAGUGACCGCGAUCACCACCGCACCCGGCCUCUGA